RNAcentral lists this long non-coding RNA (841 nucleotides) under Malus domestica (apple). Its description in RNAcentral is "long non-coding RNA (MDOM_LNC010159)". The record is from RNAcentral. Lineage: Eukaryota; Viridiplantae; Streptophyta; Magnoliopsida; Rosales; Rosaceae.
CCACGGCUGCAUGUGGUCGCUGAAGUCGCUACCUUGCGACGGGCGCGUAGGGGUACCCAAGGUCCCUUUUAUGCUUUUCAACGUCCUAAAUCCAUUUAUGACUUCCGUUUUUUGAAAUUCAAUCGUUUAAGUGUAGUUUUUUUUAAUUGGACCCCUUAUGUGCUUAGGUGCGAUUAUUAGCGGCGAUUCCGUCCUUCCUAUUUCCUAAGGCUCUUCGACGACGGAGUAUUUAUGAGUGGGCCCCUUCUAAAAUGCAUGUUUUAAUAGUAAAAAUGCAUACAUGAAGAGUAUGAUUUAAUAGUUAUGUUUUAUAAGUAAAUUAGAUUUACAUUGUAUUAUUAUCAUGCUUUACUAAGAAUAUUUUGGAAUACCAUACUUUAUCGAAACUUAUGUUCUUUGUAGUAUAUAUGAUGGAUGACUAUAUACUAUUUACGAAUAUGUCUUUACACUUCUUUGUAGUAUAUAUGAUGGAUGCCUAUAUGCUAUGAAGAUGAUUUUGAGAUAUAUGUAUCUAUGUUUGGAAAGAUUAUAUUCAAGGGAACUUUAACAAAAAGCUCUCGGUACUGUUCACUUUAACAAAAAACCACAUUUUUUACACUAAAAAUGCAAUACUAGUACUAUUCACUUUACCCUUUAUUUUAUCCUUAUCGUUAAAACUCAAAGUUUUCAAGCCUUUUUCAUUAGUUUUCCUUAUAUUCAAUGGUUUUGUGCGUAUCUAGUGGUCACAUAUAUGCCUUCAGGUGGGUGUUGUAGGAGCCUACGGGGGAUUGAUACUUGUAUGCCUUCGGGUAGGUGUUGUAGGAGCUUAUGGGCGAUUGAUAUUUGAAGUAUUUCUGAAGGA